RNAcentral lists this ribosomal RNA (396 nucleotides) under uncultured bacterium. Its description in RNAcentral is "partial 16S ribosomal RNA". It matches the Rfam family "Bacterial small subunit ribosomal RNA", at positions 523 to 918 of the family's 1533-position model. The record is from RNAcentral.
AUACGUAUGGAGCAAGCGUUAUCCGGAUUUACUGGGUGUAAAGGGAGCGUAGACGGCAUAGCAAGUCUGAAGUGAAAUCCCAUGGCUUAACCAUGGAAAUGCUUUGGAAACUGUUUUACUGGAGUGCAGGAGAGGUAAGCGGAAUUUCUAGUGUAGCGGUGAAAUGCGUAGAUAUUAGGAGGAACACCAGAGGCGAAGGCGGCUUACUGGACUGUAACUGACGUUGAGGCUCGAAGGCGUGGGGAGCAAACAGGAUUAGAUACCCUGGUAGUCCACGCGGUAAACGAUGAUCACUAGGUGUCGGCGGCCAUAGGCGGUCGGUGCCGCAGCAAACGCAAUAAGUGAUCCACCUGGGGAGUACGUUCGCAAGAAUGAAACUCAAAGGAAUUGACGGGG